This 465-nucleotide ribosomal RNA is filed under the name uncultured Klebsiella sp. Its description in RNAcentral is "bacterial SSU rRNA". It matches the Rfam family "Bacterial small subunit ribosomal RNA", at positions 338 to 795 of the family's 1533-position model. Lineage: Bacteria; Pseudomonadati; Pseudomonadota; Gammaproteobacteria; Enterobacterales; Enterobacteriaceae. The record is from RNAcentral.
CCUACGGGUGGCAGCAGUGGGGAAUAUUGCACAAUGGGCGCAAGCCUGAUGCAGCCAUGCCGCGUGUGUGAAGAAGGCCUUCGGGUUGUAAAGCACUUUCAGCGGGGAGGAAGGCGGUGAGGUUAAUAACCUUAUCGAUUGACGUUACCCGCAGAAGAAGCACCGGCUAACUCCGUGCCAGCAGCCGCGGUAAUACGGAGGGUGCAAGCGUUAAUCGGAAUUACUGGGCGUAAAGCGCACGCAGGCGGUCUGUCAAGUCGGAUGUGAAAUCCCCGGGCUCAACCUGGGAACUGCAUUCGAAACUGGCAGGCUAGAGUCUUGUAGAGGGGGGUAGAAUUCCAGGUGUAGCGGUGAAAUGCGUAGAGAUCUGGAGGAAUACCGGUGGCGAAGGCGGCCCCCUGGACAAAGACUGACGCUCAGGUGCGAAAGCGUGGGGAGCAAACAGGAUUAGAUACCCCAGUAGUC